AGAUUGAACGCUGGCGGCAUGCCUAACACAUGCAAGUCGAACGGCAGCGCGGGUAGCAAUACCUGGCGGCGAGUGGCGGACGGGUGAGGAAUACAUCGGAAUCUACCCAGUCGUGGGGGAUAACGCAUCGAAAGGUGCGCUAAUACCGCAUACGACGGAGACGUGAAAGCGGAGGACCGUAAGGCUUCGCGCGAUUGGAUGAGCCGAUGUCGGAUUAGCUAGUUGGCGGGGUAAGAGCCCACCAAGGCGACGAUCCGUAGCUGGUCUGAGAGGAUGAUCAGCCACACUGGGACUGAGACACGGCCCAGACUCCUACGGGAGCAGCAGUGGGGAAUAUUGGACAAUGGGCGCAAGCCUGAUCCAGCAAUGCCGCGUGUGUGAAGAAGGCCUUCGGUUGUAAAGCAACUUUUAUCGGUAGCGAAAGCUGCGGUUAAUACCCUGUAGUCAUGACGUACCGAUGAAUAAGCACCGGCUAACUUCGU
Molecule: ribosomal RNA, 482 nt
Filed under: uncultured soil bacterium
Lineage: Bacteria
Description: bacterial SSU rRNA
Rfam family: Bacterial small subunit ribosomal RNA
Source: RNAcentral